CCUACGGGAGGCAGCAGUGAGGAAUAUUGGUCAAUGGGCUUACGCCUGACCCAGCCAAGUCGCGUGAGGGAAGACUGCCCUAUGGGUUGUAAACCUCUUUUGUCAGGGAGCAAUUGGCGCUACGUGUAGCGUUCUCUAGAGUCCCUGAAGAAAAAGCCUCGGCUAACUCCGUGCCAGCAGCCGCGGUAAUACGGAGGAUGCGAGCGUUAUCCGGAUUUAUUGGUUUUAAAGGGAGCGUAGGUGGAUUGUUAAGUCAGUUGUGAAAGUUUGCGGCUCAACCGUAAAAUUGCAGUUGAAACUGGCAGUCUGGAGGACAGUAGAGGUGGGCGGAAUUCGUGGUGUAGCGGUGAAAUGCUUAGAUAUCACGCAGAACUCCGAUUGCGAAGGCAGCAUACCGGCGCGCAACUGACGCUCAUGCACGAAAGUGUGGGUAUCGAACAGGAUUAGAUACCCGAGUAGUC
RNAcentral lists this ribosomal RNA (461 nucleotides) under uncultured bacterium. RNAcentral's name for it is "partial 16S ribosomal RNA". It matches the Rfam family "Bacterial small subunit ribosomal RNA", at positions 338 to 795 of the family's 1533-position model. The record is from RNAcentral.